UAAACGCUGGCGGCGCACAUAAGACAUGCAAGUCGAACGGACUUAACUCAUUCUUUACGAUUGAGAGCGGUUAGUGGCGGACUGGUGAGUAACACGUAAGCAAUCUGCCUAUCAGAGGGGAAUAACAGUGAGAAAUCAUUGCUAAUACCGCAUAUGCUAACAGUAUCGCAUGAUACAGUUAGGAAAGGAGCAAUCCGCUGAUAGAUGAGCUUGCGCCUGAUUAGAUAGUUGGUGGGGUAACGGCCUACCAAGUCGACGAUCAGUAGCCGAACUGAGAGGUUGAUCGGCCACAUUGGGACUGAGACACGGCCCAGACUCCUACGGGAGGCAGCAGUGGGGAAUAUUGCGCAAUGGGGGCAACCCUGACGCAGCAACGCCGCGUGAAGGAUGAAGGUCUUCGGAUUGUAAACUUCUGUUCUGAGGGACGAACAAGGACGGUACCUCAGGAGGAAGCCACGGCUAACUACGUG
RNAcentral lists this ribosomal RNA (470 nucleotides) under uncultured bacterium. Its description in RNAcentral is "bacterial SSU rRNA". It matches the Rfam family "Bacterial small subunit ribosomal RNA", at positions 30 to 507 of the family's 1533-position model. The record is from RNAcentral.